GACGAACGCUGGCGGCGUGCUUAACACAUGCAAGUCGAACGGAAAGGCCCUGCUUUUGUGGGGUGCUCGAGUGGCGAACGGGUGAGUAACACGUGAGUAACCUGCCCUUGACUUUGGGAUAACUUCAGGAAACUGGGGCUAAUACCGGAUAGGAGCUCCUGCUGCAUGGUGGGGGUUGGAAAGUUUCGGCGGUUGGGGAUGGACUCGCGGCUUAUCAGCUUGUUGGUGGGGUCGUGGCGUACCACGGCCUUGACGGGUAGCCGGCCUGAGAGGGUGACCGGCCACAUUGGGGCUGAGAUACGGCCCAGACUCCUACGGGAGGCAGCAGUGGGGAAUAUUGCACAAUGGGCGGAAGCGGGAUGCAGCAACGCCGCGUGCGGGAUGACGGCCUUCGGGUUGUAAACCGCUUUCGCCUGUGGCGAAGCGUGAGUGACGGUAAUGGGUAAAGAAGCACCGGCUAACUACGUG
Molecule: ribosomal RNA, 468 nt
Filed under: uncultured bacterium
Lineage: Bacteria
Description: partial 16S ribosomal RNA
Rfam family: Bacterial small subunit ribosomal RNA
Source: RNAcentral